Molecule: ribosomal RNA, 322 nt
Filed under: Aspergillus nidulans
Lineage: Eukaryota; Fungi; Ascomycota; Eurotiomycetes; Eurotiales; Aspergillaceae
Description: LSU rRNA
Rfam family: Eukaryotic large subunit ribosomal RNA
Source: RNAcentral
AGACCGAUAGCGAACAAGUAGAGUGAUCGAAAGAUGAAAAGCACUUUGAAAAGAGAGUUAAACAGCACGUGAAAUUGUUGAAAGGGAAGCGCUUGCGACCAGACUCGGCCCCGGGGUUCAGCCAGCACUCGUGCUGGUGUACUUCCCCGGGGGCGGGCCAGCGUCGGUUUGGGCGGCCGGUCAAAGGCCCCAGGAAUGUAUCGCCCUCCGGGGUUGUCUUAUAGCCUGGGGUGCAAUGCGGCCAGCCCGGACCGAGGAACGCGCUUCGGCACGGACGCUGGCGUAAUGGUCGCAAACNACCCGUCUUGAAACACGGACCAAG